AUGAAGGCGUUUCCUUCCAAGGUCGUGAUCCUUCGCUGCAACAGUCUCAGGCCCCUGUAUCUCGUUUGUCGUCCUCGACAAGAUGAAGCUCUCGUCACAACCACUUCGUCAUCACUCUGGCAUCGCCGCCUCGGACAUCCUGGUCAUCACACCAUGUCACGUCUUCAACACUUCAAGUCUAGUUCAUACAAUAAAGAUGGGUCACCACUCUGUCAUGCCUAUCAGUUAGGAAAACAUGUUAGGCUUCCGUUUUAUGAUUCUCAAACAUAUACAAUUCAUCCGUCUCAAGCUAGCAACCCCAAUUCAUAUCAGUUUUUACAGUGA
Molecule: ribosomal RNA, 324 nt
Filed under: Triticum aestivum (bread wheat)
Lineage: Eukaryota; Viridiplantae; Streptophyta; Magnoliopsida; Poales; Poaceae
Description: partial small subunit ribosomal RNA
Source: RNAcentral